This 19-nucleotide transfer RNA is filed under the name Cyptodontopsis obtusifolia. RNAcentral describes it as "partial tRNA-Ser". The record is from RNAcentral. RNAcentral also lists the same sequence under 1 other name. Lineage: Eukaryota; Viridiplantae; Streptophyta; Bryopsida; Hypnales; Cryphaeaceae.
GGAAAGAAAGGGAUUCGAC